This 603-nucleotide ribosomal RNA is filed under the name uncultured delta proteobacterium. Its description in RNAcentral is "bacterial SSU rRNA". It matches the Rfam family "Bacterial small subunit ribosomal RNA", at positions 84 to 663 of the family's 1533-position model. Lineage: Bacteria; Deltaproteobacteria. The record is from RNAcentral.
GGGAAAGUAGAGUGGCGCACGGGUGAGUAACGCGUGGGUAACCUACCCUUGAACUGGGGAUAACUCCGCGAAAGCGGGGCUAAUACCGAAUAAUAUUCCGACUUCCAAGGGAGUUGGAAUCAAAGGUGGCCUCUGCAUGCAAGCUAUCGUUUAAGGAUGGGCCCGCGUACCAUUAGCUUGUUGGUAGGGUAAUGGCCUACCAAGGCAACGAUGGUUAGCUGGUCUGAGAGGAUGGCCAGCCACACUGGAACUGAGACACGGUCCAGACUCCUACGGGAGGCAGCAGUGGGGAAUCUUGCGCAAUGGGGGAAACCCUGACGCAGCAACGCCGCGUGGGUGAUGAAGGCCUUCGGGUCGUAAAGCCCUGUCAGGUGGGAAGAAUUGUGUCGGUGUUAAUACCACCGAUGCUUGACGGUACUACCGGAGGAAGCACCGGCUAACUCCGUGCCAGCAGCCGCGGUAAUACGGAGGGUGCAAGCGUUGUUCGGAAUUAUUGGGCGUAAAGCGCGUGCAGGCGGUUGGGUAAGUCAGAUGUGAAAGCCUUCCGCUUAACGGAAGAAGUGCAUUUGAAACUGCUCGGCUGGAGUACGGGAGAGGAGAGUG